RNAcentral lists this ribosomal RNA (301 nucleotides) under uncultured bacterium. Its description in RNAcentral is "partial 16S ribosomal RNA". It matches the Rfam family "Bacterial small subunit ribosomal RNA", at positions 509 to 807 of the family's 1533-position model. The record is from RNAcentral.
CAGUAGCCGCGGUAAUACGAGGGGGGCAAGCGUUGUUCGGAAUUAUUGGGCGUAAAGGGUGCGUAGGCGGUUUGACAAGUCUUGUGUGAAAUCUUCGGGCUCAACCCGAAGCCUGCACGAGAAACUGUUGAGCUUGAGUAUUGGAGAGGUGAGUGGAAUUUCCGGUGUAGCGGUGAAAUGCGUAGAUAUCGGAAGGAACACCUGUGGCGAAAGCGGCUCACUGGACAAUAACUGACGCUGAUGCACGAAAGCUAGGGGAGCAAACAGGAUUAGAGACCCCAGUAGUCCCUGUCUCUUAUAC